GCAAGUCGAGGGGCAGCAUUUCUAACUUGCUAGCAGAUGGCGUCCUGCGCACGGGUGCGUAACGCGUAUACAAUCUACCUAUUACUGAGGGAUAGCCCGAAGAAAUUUGGAUUAAGACCUCAUAGUAUUAUUGAUCCGCAUGGUUUAAUAAUUAAAGGUUACGGUAAUAGAUGAGUAUGCGUCCUAUUAGCUAGAUGGUAAGGUAACGGCUUACCAUGGCUACGAUAGGUAGGGGUCCUGAGAGGGAGAUC
RNAcentral lists this ribosomal RNA (251 nucleotides) under uncultured bacterium. Its description in RNAcentral is "partial 16S ribosomal RNA". It matches the Rfam family "Bacterial small subunit ribosomal RNA", at positions 57 to 305 of the family's 1533-position model. The record is from RNAcentral.